GUAAGUUCAGAGGUGAAUUGUUAGUUAAUGACUGAGCAGGGUUGGGAGCAGGGAGCUGAGAACUAGAAACAAACAGAGGCUAAAAGUUUGAAUGAGAUAUGUGCGAGUUUCUCUGGGAGGCAGGGUGCAAGGACAGAGGAAGGAUUGUCAAGAAGGAAAGGAAAAGCACCCACAGUGAAACCUGAAAGAGGCCCAAAACAAAACUCCCCUGAUUUCCUCAUUGCCUCAGGGCUGGGCCCCAGGUACAUUUAUUUCUUUUCUAAUUACCUACACCUGAGUGAACAUAGACAGGUAUUUAUAUCUCAGUGAGCUGUUUAGGUGUGUUUAUUUAGGUUUUAUUUAUAAUCCCAGAUUAGGUAAUUUCCUUUUAAAAAUUAUAGGUGGACUGUGAUGAGAAAGAGCUUUUAUCUGAUUGUUAGUAAGAUCAUAGGCGUAAAGAGAAUUUUGCUUUUGAAAACUUACAAGGGCUAUUGAGUUUUUCAAUUAAACAAUGUGGCCCUUCUAAGGUUACUAAAGAGAAACCCACAUAUUCACAAUCAACCUCUAAGGCUGUUGAGGUUUCUCAGUUCUUUGAACCUCGAACACUCUGUGUUCCUAAGCCACUAGAGGUGGAAACAAAAUAGAGCCGCUUAUCACAUUUCUUCUAUUCCACACCUCAGUAUUGUCAUCGUCUCCACUUGCCCUUCAGCGGAGGAGAUUAAUAGAUUUCAACAGGACCUUUUGUGGGCUCAGAGGAGCUGGCUCUGCACUUAUUUGCCCUCUUUGUGUGGUUGUAAAGUGUUCUGACCAGAUGACUCGGCAUUGCCAGUAAGAACCCAGCCCCAUGCCACAGGGACUCUAUGGCCAGAAGCACUGCUUCCUCUGCCUUGUUUCUUGAGAUCAGUGAAACAGGAAUAUUUUCUUGCGAAACCCUGAUUCAAUAACUGGUGGCUCAGAGCCCACAAUAAAAUCAUGGUAACAGUCUAUAAACAUCAAAACAUUAAUCCUUUCCAAGUAGGAGCUGACGAGAAUAAGCCUAAUUGCAGUAAUGACCUGAAGUAUAGAUGCUGCUCUGCAUAAACUCUCACUCCCUGGUGGGAAUGUUCCCAUGGAACUCUGGGACUGUGCCAUGCACACACCUAACUCUAAUAAUACUAAAUCUAAACAUGGGCAUUCCUGCUGGAUGAGCGGACUGAUAGUCAUUAAAGGCCUAAAAGUGCAGCCCCACCCUCUGCACCUCUGUACCUGUGCAGCAGCUUCCUCUGGCCAGCAUGGUGUCCACAGCCCAGAACCUGGCACUAGGAGAUUCCUGGAGAAAGUGAGCCUUCUUGUCUGACUGUCCAGAGAGUGAGAGAAAGUGUGAUGGGUACCAAGUCCACAGGAAGAAGUAAGUUCUUGGAUAGAUCCAGUGCAAGGUCAGUUUGCCUUAGCAGAGCACCAGAGUUCAGCAAAAGAAUGAACAUGUUCUAAUGUCAAGAUCACUCACUUUGGGAGAAGCCAACCACCAUGCCAGUAGAUACUCGAGAUGCCCAACAAAAGUGACCACAUGGUGAGAAACUAAGGCCCCUUACCCAUAACCAGCACUAAUUCGCCAUGUAAGUCACCUUGGAAUUGGAUCCUCCAGCCUUGGUCUAGUCCUCAGAUGACUGCAACCACACACAGCUACCACGUUGACUGCAAUCUCAAAAAAAGACCCUGAGCCAGAAUCACCAUCUAAGCCCCUCCCAUAUUCCAGCCCCACAGAGUUAUGUGAGAUAAUAAAUGUUUAUUAUUUUGAACCACUAAGAU
This 1767-nucleotide long non-coding RNA is filed under the name Homo sapiens (human). Its description in RNAcentral is "HSALNT0093831". The record is from RNAcentral. Lineage: Eukaryota; Metazoa; Chordata; Mammalia; Primates; Hominidae.